UGGGGAAUAUUGCACAAUGGGCGCAAGCCUGAUGCAGCAACGCCGCGUGAAGGAUGAAGGGUUUCGGCUCGUAAACUUCUUUAGGCAGGGACGAAUAAAUGACGGUACCUGCAGAAUAAGCCCCGGCUAACUACGUGCCAGCAGCCGCGGUAAUACGUAGGGGGCAAGCGUUAUCCGGAAUGACUGGGUGUAAAGGGUGAGUAGGCGGCUCGAUAAGUCAUAUGUGAAAUCCCACGGCUUAACCAUGGGACUGCAUAAGAAACUGUCAGGCUAGAGUACAGGAGAGGUAAGCGGAAUUCCUAGUGUAGCGGUGAAAUGCGUAGAUAUUAGGAAGAACACCAGUGGCGAAGGCGGCUUACUGGACUGAAACUGACGCUGAGUCACGAAAGCGUGGGGAGCGAACA
This 404-nucleotide ribosomal RNA is filed under the name uncultured Eubacteriales bacterium. RNAcentral describes it as "uncultured Clostridiales bacterium partial 16S ribosomal RNA". It matches the Rfam family "Bacterial small subunit ribosomal RNA", at positions 355 to 774 of the family's 1533-position model. The record is from RNAcentral. Lineage: Bacteria; Bacillati; Bacillota; Clostridia; Eubacteriales.